GUUUGAUGAAGACGGCGCGAAGAAUGAUGCAUAGCGUCUAGAAGUACCAGUCAGCAUAUGCGUUUGAUCACCGUUUUCUUACUUCAUCGCUGCCUGAUGAAGAAAUGAAGGAAUGUCACAACUUUACUGACAGAGGAGAAGACAGUUUUGGCAAAAAUUUGUGCAGAAUUUGAGACGGAGAGAAUUAUGUUGGGACCAUUAGUGUCAGCAGUCUUUGCCAAAAUGGAUCCACAAUGCAAAACAUAUGAAGAUGUUUGCAAAUCGAAGAAGAGUCCUUGGACAAAGAAUUAAACCCUCUUGGUGCCCAUUACACAGGAACUCGUGGAUGGAACGGAUGAAGGACAGACGAUAGCACACACCUCACCGCAAAAGGUAAUGGAGAUGAACAAUUGGAGACGCUGGAGACGACAGACGUUGGAGUGGAGUGUAGGAGAACUCACUGGAGAAGGCACAGGAGGUAAGUACACAAAGGAGGUAGGAGUAGCAUAGAGAGUCCACUUCGUAUGAACGAGACUGGACACUGGAGUGAUGUGAGGUGUGUGCUUAUGAAGCCAGCUUGAUGAGGGUGCAGAUGAUGUGCAGGUGUGUGCAUUCAGUAUUCAGAUGAGGGUGUGUGCUGUGAUUGGGUGGUGAGCGAGCCUGGCCGAUCUGUGACAGUAACUUGAAAAUUACUUCUGUUGUCUUUGAAAUAUGGUUAAAGGCUUUAGCACUGCUAAAUGUGCUGACAAGUAUUCAUGAUAAACUAAAAUAUACUUCAAUGUCAUUUCUAUUGAAACUUGUCAU
Long non-coding RNA from Onychostoma macrolepis, 783 nucleotides. RefSeq lists it as uncharacterized. The transcript has 4 exons. NCBI's taxonomy places the organism in Eukaryota, Metazoa, Chordata, Actinopteri, Cypriniformes, Cyprinidae. The record is from RefSeq and is a predicted model, not a curated record.